Molecule: ribosomal RNA, 688 nt
Filed under: Culicoides (Avaritia) sp. 20 MTB-2017
Lineage: Eukaryota; Metazoa; Arthropoda; Insecta; Diptera; Ceratopogonidae
Description: eukaryotic LSU rRNA
Rfam family: Eukaryotic large subunit ribosomal RNA (bases 537-674)
Source: RNAcentral
AAGGCUCGACUGCAUUCACCUCGCGUCUACAUGGACUCAAUUCUUACCUCUUGUUGGUGAUUUCGGUGUAUGGGGUGCACUUUUCUUCCAAUCGCUGUUGCAAGUGUAUGGAAUGUGGCUCUUUCGGGAAUGUGCCCGGCUAUGACUUAUGCAUUGGUUGGUAUCGAUGGCUUUGCUGUCUUUUGAAUGCGCUUGUGCUGCCUGGUGUUCUUAAACAUGUCUGAUGGUAUUUUGACCCAAUGUCUCUAACAUGUUUGCAAUUGUUGCCUUGGUAGACCCUAAUGCGUAAUUUAUCUGAUACCUUUUAAACUCGCGAGAGAGGCACGACCCCCCCUGGCUGAUCUUCCGUGACGCCUCACAUGUAUACCAUACAUUGUGAUACCCAAAACAUGGUGACCAAUGGAUAAUAACUUGUAAACGGGAUUACACUCGGGUGGAGGCUCACUGCUUUUCCGACCCCGGAUACCUUCGUGUAAUUUGGGUGUUCGCGCAAGCGAGUACUCCAACCAUCUACCAUCUGGUUUCCUUCCGAAGACCCGAAAGAUGGUGAACUAUGCCUGAUCAGGUUGAAGUCAGGGGAAACCCUGAUGGAAGACCGUAGCAAUUCUGACGUGCAAAUCGAUUGUCAGAGUUGGGUAUAGGGGCGAAAGACCAAUCGAACCAUCUAGUAGCUGUUUCCCUUCCGAAA